RNAcentral lists this ribosomal RNA (2902 nucleotides) under Escherichia coli. RNAcentral describes it as "bacterial LSU rRNA". It matches the Rfam family "Bacterial large subunit ribosomal RNA". Lineage: Bacteria; Pseudomonadati; Pseudomonadota; Gammaproteobacteria; Enterobacterales; Enterobacteriaceae. The record is from RNAcentral.
UUAAGCGACUAAGCGUACACGGUGGAUGCCCUGGCAGUCAGAGGCGAUGAAGGACGUGCUAAUCUGCGAUAAGCGUCGGUAAGGUGAUAUGAACCGUUAUAACCGGCGAUUUCCGAAUGGGGAAACCCAGUGUGUUUCGACACACUAUCAUUAACUGAAUCCAUAGGUUAAUGAGGCGAACCGGGGGAACUGAAACAUCUAAGUACCCCGAGGAAAAGAAAUCAACCGAGAUUCCCCCAGUAGCGGCGAGCGAACGGGGAGNAGCCCAGAGCCUGAAUCAGUGUGUGUGUUAGUGGAAGCGUCUGGAAAGGCGCGCGAUACAGGGUGACAGCCCCGUACACAAAAAUGCACAUGCUGUGAGCUCGAUGAGUAGGGCGGGACACGUGGUAUCCUGUCUGAAUAUGGGGGGACCAUCCUCCAAGGCUAAAUACUCCUGACUGACCGAUAGUGAACCAGUACCGUGAGGGAAAGGCGAAAAGAACCCCGGCGAGGGGAGUGAAAAAGAACCUGAAACCGUGUACGUACAAGCAGUGGGAGCACGCUUCGGCGUGUGACUGCGUACCUUUUGUAUAAUGGGUCAGCGACUUAUAUUCUGUAGCAAGGUUAACCGAAUAGGGGAGCCGAAGGGAAACCGAGUCUUAACUGGGCGUUAAGUUGCAGGGUAUAGACCCGAAACCCGGUGAUCUAGCCAUGGGCAGGUUGAAGGUUGGGUAACACUAACUGGAGGACCGAACCGACUAAUGUUGAAAAAUUAGCGGAUGACUUGUGGCUGGGGGUGAAAGGCCAAUCAAACCGGGAGAUAGCUGGUUCUCCCCGAAAGCUAUUUAGGUAGCGCCUCGUGAANUCAUCUCCGGGGGUAGAGCACUGUUUCGGCAAGGGGGUCAUCCCGACUUACCAACCCGAUGCAAACUGCGAAUACCGGAGAAUGUUAUCACGGGAGACACACGGCGGGUGCUAACGUCCGUCGUGAAGAGGGAAACAACCCAGACCGCCAGCUAAGGUCCCAAAGUCAUGGUUAAGUGGGAAACGAUGUGGGAAGGCCCAGACAGCCAGGAUGUUGGCUUAGAAGCAGCCAUCAUUUAAAGAAAGCGUAAUAGCUCACUGGUCGAGUCGGCCUGCGCGGAAGAUGUAACGGGGCUAAACCAUGCACCGAAGCUGCGGCAGCGACGCUGAUGCGUUGUUGGGUAGGGGAGCGUUCUGUAAGCCUGCGAAGGUGUGCUGUGAGGCAUGCUGGAGGUAUCAGAAGUGCGAAUGCUGACAUAAGUAACGAUAAAGCGGGUGAAAAGCCCGCUCGCCGGAAGACCAAGGGUUCCUGUCCAACGUUAAUCGGGGCAGGGUGAGUCGACCCCUAAGGCGAGGCCGAAAGGCGUAGUCGAUGGGAAACAGGUUAAUAUUCCUGUACUUGGUGUUACUGCGAAGGGGGGACGGAGAAGGCUAUGUUGGCCGGGCGACGGUUGUCCCGGUUUAAGCGUGUAGGCUGGUUUUCCAGGCAAAUCCGGAAAAUCAAGGCUGAGGCGUGAUGACGAGGCACUACGGUGCUGAAGCAACAAAUGCCCUGCUUCCAGGAAAAGCCUCUAAGCAUCAGGUAACAUCAAAUCGUACCCCAAACCGACACAGGUGGUCAGGUAGAGAAUACCAAGGCGCUUGAGAGAACUCGGGUGAAGGAACUAGGCAAAAUGGUGCCGUAACUUCGGGAGAAGGCACGCUGAUAUGUAGGUGAGGUCCCUCGCGGAUGGAGCUGAAAUCAGUCGAAGAUACCAGCUGGCUGCAACUGUUUAUUAAAAACACAGCACUGUGCAAACACGAAAGUGGACGUAUACGGUGUGACGCCUGCCCGGUGCCGGAAGGUUAAUUGAUGGGGUCAGCGCAAGCGAAGCUCUUGAUCGAAGCCCCGGUAAACGGCGGCCGUAACUAUAACGGUCCUAAGGUAGCGAAAUUCCUUGUCGGGUAAGUUCCGACCUGCACGAAUGGCGUAAUGAUGGCCAGGCUGUCUCCACCCGAGACUCAGUGAAAUUGAACUCGCUGUGAAGAUGCAGUGUACCCGCGGCAAGACGGAAAGACCCCGUGAACCUUUACUAUAGCUUGACACUGAACAUUGAGCCUUGAUGUGUAGGAUAGGUGGGAGGCUUUGAAGUGUGGACGCCAGUCUGCAUGGAGCCGACCUUGAAAUACCACCCUUUAAUGUUUGAUGUUCUAACGUUGACCCGUAAUCCGGGUUGCGGACAGUGUCUGGUGGGUAGUUUGACUGGGGCGGUCUCCUCCUAAAGAGUAACGGAGGAGCACGAAGGUUGGCUAAUCCUGGUCGGACAUCAGGAGGUUAGUGCAAUGGCAUAAGCCAGCUUGACUGCGAGCGUGACGGCGCGAGCAGGUGCGAAAGCAGGUCAUAGUGAUCCGGUGGUUCUGAAUGGAAGGGCCAUCGCUCAACGGAUAAAAGGUACUCCGGGGAUAACAGGCUGAUACCGCCCAAGAGUUCAUAUCGACGGCGGUGUUUGGCACCUCGAUGUCGGCUCAUCACAUCCUGGGGCUGAAGUAGGUCCCAAGGGUAUGGCUGUUCGCCAUUUAAAGUGGUACGCGAGCUGGGUUUAGAACGUCGUGAGACAGUUCGGUCCCUAUCUGCCGUGGGCGCUGGAGAACUGAGGGGGGCUGCUCCUAGUACGAGAGGACCGGAGUGGACGCAUCACUGGUGUUCGGGUUGUCAUGCCAAUGGCACUGCCCGGUAGCUAAAUGCGGAAGAGAUAAGUGCUGAAAGCAUCUAAGCACGAAACUUGCCCCGAGAUGAGUUCUCCCUGACCCUUUAAGGGUCCUGAAGGAACGUUGAAGACGACGACGUUGAUAGGCCGGGUGUGUAAGCGCAGCGAUGCGUUGAGCUAACCGGUACUAAUGAACCGUGAGGCUUAACCUU